This 500-nucleotide ribosomal RNA is filed under the name uncultured bacterium. Its description in RNAcentral is "partial 16S ribosomal RNA". It matches the Rfam family "Bacterial small subunit ribosomal RNA", at positions 30 to 523 of the family's 1533-position model. The record is from RNAcentral.
AUUGAACGCUGGCGGCAUGCCUUACACAUGCAAGUCGAACGGCAGCACGGGAGCAAUCCUGGUGGCGAGUGGCGAACGGGUGAGUAAAGUAUCGGAACGUGCCCAGUCGUGGGGGAUAACGUAGCGAAAGUUACGCUAAUACCGCAUACGAUCUAUGGAUGAAAGCGGGGGAUCGCAAGACCUCGCGCGAUUGGAGCGGCCGAUAUCAGAUUAGGUAGUUGGUGGGGUAAAGGCUCACCAAGCCGACGAUCUGUAGCUGGUCUGAGAGGACGACCAGCCACACUGGGACUGAGACACGGCCCAGACUCCUACGGGAGGCAGCAGUGGGGAAUUUUGGACAAUGGGCGAAAGCCUGAUCCAGCCAUGCCGCGUGCAGGAUGAAGGCCUUCGGGUUGUAAAUUGCUUUUGUACGGAACGAAAAGGUUUGGCCUAAUAAGCUGAGCUCAUGACGGUACCGUAAGAAUAAGCACCGGCUAACUACGUGCCAGCAGCCACCGUAA